UAAACUAAGGAGAUAGAGAGGAAGAGCCAGCCCUAGAGUUUCUCCUAUACGUGAGGACUGCUCUCGAAGAAAAACUGUAUCGGAAUAGCUGGACUUAACGGUAUGUGAUUAAACUUAUUUUUUUAUAUAUUUGAAUUAAAUGCUAUAGUGUUUUAAUUCCUUGUAUAGUGAUCCAAAAAUUCUGAGAAAGGUUAAUACUAGGAUUAAAACCCUAAAAAAAUUGUAAUUAACAAAGGGGUAUUUUGUUCUUGUAAAUUGAUCUACUAAGACUGAAUUCGAGUUGCAAUAACUUGAGAGGUUUUGUUCUUCUGGUCAAUAUGAGUUCAUAGGAUCAAGAAUCAUCGAAAUUUUGAUUUGUACAAUAAGAGUUAUUGCAUUUUGAAAUUUCUGGAUUUUACAAACCUCUAAAUCAAUCACCAAACUGAUUGUUGCAGAAAUUAUAAAACAACCACAGAUCUAAGUUUAUGCAAAAGUUUAAACACUAAUAGAUUUGAGAUUUGCACCAUCGAUCUUAACCCAAACAAUCCCAAUACUGUAGAAAGUUUAGAACACCCUAGAUUUAAACAAUAUAUGUUGCAGAAAUUUUAAAACUUCUCAGACCUAAGAUAUAGGUUAUAGAAAUUUCAAACACCUCCAGAUCUAAGAGAUAUAUAUGUGAAAAAACCAAAUACCCACAGAUCUAUAAUAUAGGUAUUGCAUAAAUUUUAAAUCAGCCAUAGAUCUACAAUAUUCUCCACAAAUCAACAUCCCAAACAUCCAAAAUCAGAUCUAGAAAUUUUCUGUAGCUUGAGAAAGUUACCUUCUGAGAGAUUUUUUUGCUUCACUCUCUCUGUCUUACGUAUUGGUAUGGUUCUUAUAAUUUUUAAAAAGGCUUUAUAUAUUGUUUCAAUUAUUAUGUAUAUUCGAGUUUCUGAAUUGGCGUGGAUGGCACCACCAAAGUGGUUCAUUCAUUCUAAUUUUUGGAACUCUUUCAAUAAGGAUUCUAGGAAGCUCCUUUAAUUUUAUAGCAUGCCAUUACCUACCCAAAGGAGGUUAAUUGUGUGUGUUAAUUUUAAUGGUGGUGUAAGUUAUCAGUAGGGAAGUUUAUUGACUCUAAAGAAAUCUAUCUACCUAAAGGUGAUAGUUUUUUCUAAGGAGUCAUUCUUACUAAUUGACUUGUUAGAGGUAUUAAGAUGUGCCCUAUAUAUUCAGCCCAAAGGUGUUUAUAUUGUUACAUUUCAAGCCUCUGAGAAUAUUACUAAAGUUUAUUUUUUAGCAUGUUCUUAGAAUUAUUAUUAAUGCUCAAACAUAGCUAAUUAAAUUCUAUGUUGAAUUUUAUUUUUAUUUCAGCUACUAGCAGUAUUGCUAUGAAUAAUCAGAUUUGCUCUAUUGAAACUUUGACUGGGAAUAAUUUCAAAAGAUGGAAGAGAGGUUGAGUUGGCCCUGGGUUUGGCUAACUUAGAUAUUGCUCUAUAUGAGGAUGAGCCCCCAAAGCCUACCGAGAAUAGUACUAUUGAGCAAAAGACUAUUAUCAAAGAUGGGCAAAGGCUAAUAGACUGAGUAUAAUGAUUAUGAAGAAGUCUAUAUGAGAGAGUUUUCAGGGUGCUAUGCCAAAUGAGACCAAUACUAAAUCAUGCCUUGAUGCUAUAGGACAGAAAUACCUAGAGUCUGAAAAGGCCAAAACUGGUGAGCUUAUGUUGACUUUGUCCACAAUGAAAUAUGAUGGAGUGAGUAGUGUUAGAGCCUACAUCAUAAAAAUGCAAAAGAUAACUAAUAAGUUGUCUAACCUCAAGGUACCCAUUGCUGAAACCUUCCUUGUUCAGCAAGCCCUUAACUCUCUUUCUUUACAUUUUGAUGACCAGAAAACCACUUAUAAUGCCCAAAAAAAGACUUGAAGUGUGAACGAACUUAUUGCUAUUUGUGUCCAAGAAGAAGAAAGGCAUAAGAAAGAAAGAGAGGAGAGUGUGAAUAUGGUGCAUCAGCCAUGUUUUUCUAAGGGUCCAGGCAAUAAAGGAAACUCACAUCGACAAAAGAACAAAUUUUACCAACCUCAAAACAAUCAAGUGAAACACAAUCAGUCUAACAAUUUGAAUGCCCCUAAGCCUGCCAUUAAGAAACACUCAAGCUGCUGGUUUUGCAACAUGAGUGGUCACAAGAAAGUGAAUUGUUAUAAAUACAAGGCAUGGUUAGAAAGGAAGAAUAAAAAAAGGAGGUAAUUCACUUGCCUUUGUUUGUUUUGAAUCCUCUUUAAUAGAUGUGCCACCAAAUUCUUGGUGGCUUGUUAGUGGAACAUGUAUUCAUGUUUCCAAUUCUUUGCAGGGGUUCAUAAACAAAUGCAGGCCAAGUAAAGGGGAAGAUAGCAUCUAUGUAGGAAAUGGUGUCAAGGUCUGUUGUAUUUGUUGGAAUAGUUAAGUUAUUUUUUAAGUCUGGCUCUUGUCUCAUUUUAGAAAACAUUAUUUUUGUACCGUCCAUGAGCCGAAAUUUGGUGUCUGUGUCAAGACUUGAUGGGUCAAGAUAAUGUUUUAGUUUUGAUAAUGAAAAUUUUGAAUUGUUCUAAAAUUCUAUUUUCAUUGCUAAUGGUUUUCUAUGUGAUGGCUUGUAUAAAUUAAAUCUGACCUCAAAAUAAUUUUCCAUGAAUAUUGAAAGAAGUGGCACCAAAAGAGCAUUGAUAAAGAAGAAAUCUUCUAUGUUAUAGCAUAGAAGACUAGCACAUAUUUUUAAAGAACGAAUUGAAAGAUUGAUUAAAAAUAAAAUUCUCCCUAACAUUAAUUUUAAUGACUAUGAAACAUGUGUGGAUUGCAUAAAAGAAAAAAAUGACCAAAACAAAGAAACAUGGAGCCACUCGUAGUAAAGAUCUCUUGGAAAUUAAACACACCGACAUUUGUGGACCCUUACCUCCUGCCUUGUGUGGAAGAAAAUAUUUUGUCACAUUUAUAGAUGAUCGUUCACAUUAUAGUUUUGUUUAUUUAAUUCAUAACAAGUCGGAAGCCCUUGAGAAAUUCAAAUAUAUAAGACCAAUGUUGAAAAACAAACCGGCAAGGUGAUUAAAAAUGUUAGGUCUAACCGUGGAGGUGAAUAUUAUGGUAAACAUGGUAAUGUUGGUCAACAUAUGGGACCUUUUGCUGAAUUUUUCCAAAGUUGUGACAUUAAUGUACAAUACACAAUGCCUGGGACCCCUAAGCAAAAUGUUGUGGCUGAGCGUCGUAAUUGUACACUUAAGAAAAUGGUUAAAUGCAUGUUAAGUGAGUCCAAAUUACCUAAGUCUCUUUGGGGUGAAGCUCUUUUGAUUGCAAUGUAUGUCCUAAACAGAAUACCCAGCAAAUCUAUUCCCAAAACACCUUUUGAGUUGUGGAUGGGUAGAAGGCCUAGUUUGAACCAUUUUCGGGUUUGGGGUUGUCCGGCUGAAGUAAAAAUUUAUAACCCAGUCGAAACCAAAUUAGGGCCAAGAACCACUUGUUAUUUUGUAGGCUAUCCAGAAGGCUCAAAGGGCUAUAGGUUUUACUGUCCUGGUCAUGGCACAAGGAUUGUAGAGGCAAAUAAUGCAAGGUUUUUGGAGCAUGAUGCUGGUGAUUGUGUGUGCACUACAAGACAGCAUGAUGCUUCAAAAGGUGACUUUACUAUUGUAUCUCUGCCUGUUGGAUUAGAUAGGUUCGUUUCUCAACCUAUUGAAAGGGUGGAAUUAUGUAUAGAACAAGAAUAAGGAACGCCAAAUCAACCUUUCCCUACACCUCAACCAGUUGAACCUACUCAACCUGUUCAACCUCCUAGACGCUCACAAAGAGAAAGAAGGCCAGCAAUUUCUAAUGAUUAUGUUAUCUUUUUGGGAGAACAAGAGCAUGGUGUUGAUGAAGUGAUUGAUACAGUCACAUAUAGUCAAGCCAUUACAAGUUCACAAUCUGAUAAGCGGAUGGAUGCAAUGAGGGAGGAGAUGCAAUCUAUGACUCGAAAUGGAGUAUGGGAGCUUGUUGAGCUUCUAGAAGGUUUUAAACCUGAAACAUUUUCUUCUAUUUCUACAAAAGAUUCUUUCAGGAUUAUCAUGGCUUUGACAACACAUUUUCAUUUAGAGCUCCAUCAAAUGGAUGUUAAGACAGUCUUUUUAAAUGGAGAUCUUUAUGAGGAAGUUUAUAUAGUGCAACCUGAAGGCUUUGAAGAAUCAGGGAGAGAGAAUUUGGUUUGUAAGUUGAAAAGGUCUAUUUAUGGUCUGAAAUAAGCCUCUAGACAAUGGUAUCUAAAGUUUUAUCAGGUUGUGUUAUCUCUUCGUUUUAUUGAGAAUACAGUUGUUUUUUGCAUAUAUCUCAAGAUCAGUGGUAGCAAGUUUAUUUUCUUGGUUCUGUAUGUUGAUGAUAUUUUACUUGCUAGUAAUGACUUGGGAUUAUUGCAUGAUGUCAAAAAGGUGCUAUAUGAGAAUUUUGAUAUGAAAGAUCUUGGAGAAGUAGCAUAUAUGCUUGGUAUUAAGAUACACAGAGAUAGAUCCAAGCAAUUUUUAGGUUUGUCUCAAAAGGCCUACAUUGAUGUGUUCUUAGUAGAUUCAAUAUGAAAAACUGCAAGCCUGGUCUUGUUUCUGUUUGUAAAGGGGACAAGUUAAAUAAAAGCCAAUGUCCGAAGAAUGAUGUUGAAAAGGAAUCUAUGAAAAAUGUGCCAUAUUCUAGUGCUAUAGGUAGCUUGAUAUAUGCUAGGGUGUGCACUAGACCAGACAUCGUCUAUACAACUAAUCUGUUGGGUAGAUAUUCUUCCAAUCCCGAUCAUGAUCAUUGGGCAGGAGCUAAAAAGAUGUUGAGACACUUGAAGAAAACUAAGAGAUAUAUGCUUGUUUAUGAAAAAGUUGACAACCUUGAAGUCGGUGGUUAUGCAAAUGCAGAUUUUGCUGGUUACUCAGAUGAUACGAAGUCUACUACAGGAUAUAUUUUCAUGCUUGUUGGAGGAGCUAUAUCUUGAAAGAGUUUCAAACAAUUUCUUGUUGCGUCUUUCACCAUGCAAGCAGAAGUAAUUGCAUGCUUUGAAGUGAGGGCUCAUGCCAUAUGGUUAAAAAACUUUAUCUUAGGGCUUAGGGUUGUUGAUUCCAUCUCAAGACCUAUAACCAUUUAUUGUGAUAACAUGGCUGCAAUAUUCUUUACAAAAAAUACUAAGAACUCUGGUGGUGCUAAAUACAUAAUCUCCAGUAUUUUAAAAUUAGAAAAUGGGUUGAUAACGGUGACAUUUACUAUGAGCAUAUUGCUAUAGAAGAUAUGGUUGCUGAUCCAUUAACCAAGGAGCUUAGACCUAUUAAUUUUAUUAAACAUGUUGAGCACAUGAGCUUGCUGAUGUCAUUUGAUGUGCUUGGUUAGUGGGAGUCUUACGUAUAUAUAUUCUUAAGACCAUAUUGUUAUUUGCUAUAUUUGAAAUAUUGAAGUUUGAAGUGAUUGCUCUUUAAAUACUUGUUAUUUACAGUUAUAUAUGUGUGCACACUUGGCAUUGCUCGAUAUAAAAUAUAUCUUUGAUUUAAAGCAUUGAUGGAUUAGUUUUUUUAAGAAAAUCUUGAGAUGUAGGGUUUCACACUUCGGUUUAGAGUAUAAAGGCUUCUAUUUAGAAACAUAAAGGAUACAUAAAGUCUAAUGCUUCGAUUUAGAGACAUGUUGUCUUCUUUAGGAAGACCAAAAGUGGAUUGGAUGUGGAAUUGGCAUAUUAUAUAGUUGUGGAUCACUUGUGCACAAAUGCCACACUACACCUUACCACAUUCAGGGAUCCAUGUCGAUGAAGUAUUGAUAUUUGUAAUUAUGGAAGGUCUUGUGUUGAUGAAUAACACAAUUACCGCCAUAAUUCUAUAUUGAUAUUUUUAUUGGAUCGGGUCUUGUAUUGAGAUGUUCUCUUCUGAAUCAUAUUUAUGUGGCCACAAAGUUGUUCAACCCUUGAGUCAUUUUCCUAAAAUAAGUAUAACACUUUUUUUUUAAAAAAAAGAUCAACAAUCAAUGUUGCCCAAGUGAGAGAAUGUAAAAUUUUAUUUAAAAUGUGGGCUGAUUGUGUGUUUUAUACUAUUUGUGAAAAACGGAUUGAAAGUGAUUUAGAUAAAUUGACGGGUAAAGCCCAAAUAAAGUUGUGAUCCAUAAAGUUUUGGGCUGUGGUCCAUCUCAGUGUUUUUCUAGUAUAUAUACAUAUAGGAAUGUGGUAUGGAGGUGUAGGGCCUAGUUCUUGGUUAUUUGGGUACCUUAAUGGGAGGGCCCAAUAACUAUUUUAUUUAUUUUGGCUCGGUCCCCUCUCCCAUCCAAAAUCCUACUCUGACUCAAUAUUAUAUAUAUGAGUUAGAGGGUUGUCUGCCCCAUUGUAUGGCAAUAUAAACUAAGGAGAGAGAGAGAGAAAGAGCCGGCCCUAGAGUUUCUCCUAUACGUAAGGACUGUUCUUGAAAAAAAACUGUAUCGGAAUGGCCGGACUAAAUGGUAUGUGAUUAACCUUUUUUUUAUAUAUAUUUGAAUUAAAUUCUCUCGUGUUUUAAUUCCUAGUAUCAUGAUCCAGAAAUUCGGACAUGGAGAUCUUACACAGGCGAGGUGUACCACAAUGAAGUUUGACAAAAGGAUCAUCAUUCAAGUUUGCCCACGAGCAAUCCACUGUAGCCCGUUUCUCAUUGAUUAAAAGAUGAUCUUCCCUUGAUAUACAUUGUGAGCCAACAAGAGUGCCAAAACAAUGCAAAACAAAUAAGAUUUUCAGGACUUUGACUAUGUACAUUCCAAAACACAGCUAGCAGGUUUGUACAAUGAUUAUAUUGGAUCUAUCAAAGAUUUUAC
RNAcentral lists this long non-coding RNA (6734 nucleotides) under Phoenix dactylifera (date palm). RNAcentral's name for it is "long non-coding RNA (PDAC_LNC003141)". The record is from RNAcentral. Lineage: Eukaryota; Viridiplantae; Streptophyta; Magnoliopsida; Arecales; Arecaceae.